CAGUCGCCACGGGAAUACAGAGGGUGCGAGCGUUAAUCGGAUUUACUGGGCGUAAAGCGUGCGUAGGCGGCUUCUUAAGUCGGAUGUGAAAUCCCUGAGCUUAACUUAGGAAUUGCAUUCGAUACUGGGAAGCUAGAGUAUGGGAGAGGAUGGUAGAAUUCCAGGUGUAGCGGUGAAAUGCGUAGAGAUCUGGAGGAAUACCGAUGGCGAAGGCAGCCAUCUGGCCUAAUACUGACGCUGAGGUACAAAAGCAUGGGGAGCAAACAGGAUUAGAUACCCGUGUAGUCCCUGUCUCUUAUAC
RNAcentral lists this ribosomal RNA (301 nucleotides) under uncultured bacterium. RNAcentral describes it as "partial 16S ribosomal RNA". It matches the Rfam family "Bacterial small subunit ribosomal RNA", at positions 509 to 807 of the family's 1533-position model. The record is from RNAcentral.